UACGUAGGGGGCUAGCGUUGUCCGGAUUUAUUGGGCGUAAAGAGCGUGUAGGCGGCCAGGUAGGUCUGCUGUGAAAACUCGAGGCUCAACCUCGAGACGUCGGCGGAAACCAUCUGGCUAGAGUCCGGAAGAGGAGAGUGGAAUUCCUGGUGUAGCGGUGAAAUGCGCAGAUAUCAGGAGGAACACCAAGGGCGAAGGCAGCUCGCUGGGACGUGACUGACGCUGAGACGCGAAAGCGUGGGGAGCAAACAGG
RNAcentral lists this ribosomal RNA (253 nucleotides) under uncultured bacterium. Its description in RNAcentral is "partial 16S ribosomal RNA". It matches the Rfam family "Bacterial small subunit ribosomal RNA", at positions 524 to 776 of the family's 1533-position model. The record is from RNAcentral.